This 457-nucleotide ribosomal RNA is filed under the name uncultured bacterium. Its description in RNAcentral is "bacterial SSU rRNA". It matches the Rfam family "Bacterial small subunit ribosomal RNA", at positions 337 to 791 of the family's 1533-position model. The record is from RNAcentral.
CCCUACGGGGGGCAGCAGUAAGGAAUAUUGGUCAAUGGACGCAAGUCUGAACCAGCCAUGCCGCGUGAAGGAUGACGGCCCUCUGGGUUGUAAACUUCUUUUAUCUGGGACGAAAAAAGGGUAUUCUUACUCACUUGACGGUACCAGAGGAAUAAGCACCGGCUAACUCCGUGCCAGCAGCCGCGGUAAUACGGAGGGUGCAAGCGUUAUCCGGAUUUACUGGGUUUAAAGGGUGCGUAGGUGGGUUGGUAAGUCAGUGGUGAAAUCUCCGAGCUUAACUCGGAAACUGCCAUUGAUACUAUCAAUCUUGAAUACUUUGGAGGUAAGCGGAAUAUGUCAUGUAGCGGUGAAAUGCUUAGAUAUGACAUAGAACACCAAUUGCGAAGGCAGCUUACUACACAGUCAUUGACACUGAGGCACGAAAGCGUGGGGAUCAAACAGGAUUAGAUACCCUGGU